Molecule: ribosomal RNA, 484 nt
Filed under: uncultured bacterium
Lineage: Bacteria
Description: partial 16S ribosomal RNA
Rfam family: Bacterial small subunit ribosomal RNA
Source: RNAcentral
AUUGAACGCUGGCGGCAGGCCUAACACAUGCAAGUCGGGCGGAUGAAGGGAGCUUGCUCCUGGAUUCAGCGGCGGACGGGUGAGCAAUGCCUAGGAAUCUGCCUGGUAGUGGGGGAUAACGUCCGGACACGGGCGCUAAUACCGCAUACGUCCUGAGGGAGAAAGGGGGGGAUCUUCGGACCUCACGUCAUCAGAUGAGUCUAGGUCGGAUUAGCUAGUUGGUGGGGUAAAGGCCUACCAAGGCGACGAUCCGUAACUGGUCUGAGAGGAUGAUCAGUCACACUGGAACUGAGACACGGUCCAGACUCCUACGGGAGGCAGCAGUGGGGAAUAUUGGACAAUGGGCGAAAGCCUGAUCCAGCCAUGCCGCGUGUGUGAAGAAGGUCUUCGGAUUGUAAAGCACUUUAAGUUGGGAGGAAGGGCAGUAAGUUAAUACCUUGCUGUUUUGACGUUACCAACAGAAUAAGCACCGGCUAACUUCGUG